This 253-nucleotide ribosomal RNA is filed under the name uncultured bacterium. RNAcentral's name for it is "partial 16S ribosomal RNA". It matches the Rfam family "Bacterial small subunit ribosomal RNA", at positions 524 to 776 of the family's 1533-position model. The record is from RNAcentral.
UACGUAGGUGACAAGCGUUGUCCGGAUUUACUGGGCGUAAAGAGCGCGCAGGCGGUCGAUCAAGUCGAGUGUGAAAGCCCCCGGCUCAACUGGGGAGGGUCAUUCGAAACUGGUCGACUCGAGGGCAGGAGAGGGUAGUGGAAUUCCCGGUGUAGUGGUGAAAUGCGUAGAUAUCGGGAGGAACACCAGUGGCGAAGGCGACUACCUGGCCUGUUCUUGACGCUGAGGCGCGAAAGCUAGGGGAGCAAACGGG